Molecule: non-coding RNA, 82 nt
Organism: Schistosoma margrebowiei
Lineage: Eukaryota; Metazoa; Platyhelminthes; Trematoda; Strigeidida; Schistosomatidae
Source: Rfam
AGCUUUUCGAAUCCGUGCUGAGAUUUUGUUAGACACCAACCCAUCAGAACUGAUCAGACUUCCAAGAUAAGUUGUCAACGCG